GCCCGGAUGGCACAAUGGUACUGCGCAAGUCUUGAGAACUUGUUUCCUUCGGGAUAUCCCGGUUCGAUUCCGGGUCCGGGCG
RNAcentral lists this transfer RNA (82 nucleotides) under archaeon. Its description in RNAcentral is "tRNA-Ser". It matches the Rfam family "tRNA". Rfam says of the family: Transfer RNA (tRNA) molecules are approximately 80 nucleotides in length. Their secondary structure includes four short double-helical elements and three loops (D, anti-codon, and T loops). Further hydrogen bonds mediate the characteristic L-shaped molecular structure. tRNAs have two regions of fundamental functional importance: the anti-codon, which is responsible for specific mRNA codon recognition, and the 3' end, to which the tRNAs corresponding amino acid is attached (by aminoacyl-tRNA synthetases). tRNAs cope with the degeneracy of the genetic code in two manners: having more than one tRNA (with a specific anti-codon) for a particular amino acid; and 'wobble' base-pairing, i.e. permitting non-standard base-pairing at the 3rd anti-codon position. The record is from RNAcentral.